This 407-nucleotide ribosomal RNA is filed under the name uncultured bacterium. Its description in RNAcentral is "bacterial SSU rRNA". It matches the Rfam family "Bacterial small subunit ribosomal RNA", at positions 355 to 776 of the family's 1533-position model. The record is from RNAcentral.
UGGGGAAUAUUGGGCAAUGGGGGAAACCCUGACCCAGCAACGCCGCGUAAAGGAAGAAGGUCUUCGGAUUGUAAACUUUUGUCCCAUGGGAAGAAAAAAAUGACGGUACCAUGGGAGGAAGCCCCGGCUAACUACGUGCCAGCAGCCGCGGUAAUACGUAGGGGGCGAGCGUUGUCCGGAAUUACUGGGCGUAAAGGGUGCGCAGGCGGCUUGUCAAGUCAUGUGUGAAAUACCCAGGCUUAACUUGGGGGGUGCACAUGAAACUGGCGAGCUUGAGUGCAGGAGAGGGGAGCGGAAUUCCUAGUGUAGCGGUGAAAUGCGUAGAUAUUAGGAGGAACACCAGUGGCGAAGGCGGCUCUCUGGACUGCAACUGACGCUGAGGCACGAAAGCGUGGGGAGCAAACAGG